Molecule: ribosomal RNA, 255 nt
Filed under: uncultured bacterium
Lineage: Bacteria
Description: partial 16S ribosomal RNA
Rfam family: Bacterial small subunit ribosomal RNA
Source: RNAcentral
GUCCACGCCGUAAACGAUGGAUACUAGCUGUUGGGGGCAACCUCAGUGGCUAAGCGAAAGUGAUAAGUAUCCCACCUGGGGAGUACGUUCGCAAGAAUGAAACUCAAAGGAAUUGACGGGGGCCCGCACAAGCGGUGGAGCAUGUGGUUUAAUUCGAUGAUACGCGAGGAACCUUACCAAGGCUUAAAUGUAGUUUGACCGAUUUGGAAACAGAUCUUUCGCAAGACAAAUUACAAGGUGCUGCAUGGUUGUCGU